Molecule: unclassified non-coding RNA, 166 nt
Filed under: uncultured Xylariaceae
Lineage: Eukaryota; Fungi; Ascomycota; Sordariomycetes; Xylariales; Xylariaceae
Description: sequence contains ITS2
Source: RNAcentral
CAACCCUUAAGCCCUGCCGCUUAGCGUUGGGAGCCUACCCUGCGGAAAGGCGUAGCUCCCUAAAGGUAGUGGCGGUGUCUGGUGCACACGUAGCGUAGUACAUCUAUCCUCGCUCCUGUGGCGCCCCGGACGGCCUGCCGUAAAACCCCCGCCAUAUUUCUCUUGG